Molecule: ribosomal RNA, 497 nt
Filed under: uncultured bacterium
Lineage: Bacteria
Description: partial 16S ribosomal RNA
Rfam family: Bacterial small subunit ribosomal RNA
Source: RNAcentral
GACGAACGCUGGCGGCGUGCCUAAUACAUGCAAGUAGAACGCUGAAGCGAGGAGCUUACUCUUCUUGGAUGAGUUGCGAACGGGUGAGUAACGCGUAGGUAACCUGCCUUGUAGCGGGGGAUAACUAUUGGAAACGAUAGCUAAUACCGCAUAACAAUGGAUGACACAUGUCAUUUAUUUGAAAGGGGCAAUUGCUCCACUACAAGAUGGACCUGCGUUGUAUUAGCUAGUAGGUGAGGUAAUGGCUCACCUAGGCGACGAUACAUAGCCGACCUGAGAGGGUGAUCGGCCACACUGGGACUGAGACACGGCCCAGACUCCUACGGGAGGCAGCAGUAGGGAAUCUUCGGCAAUGGGGGCAACCCUGGCCGAGCAACGCCGCGGGAGUGAAGAAGGUUUUCGGAUCGUAAAGCUCUGUUGUAAGUCAAGAACGGGUGUGAGAGUGGAAAGUUCACACUGUGACGGUAGCUUACCAGAAAGGGACGGCUAACUACGUG